Molecule: ribosomal RNA, 535 nt
Filed under: uncultured archaeon
Lineage: Archaea
Description: bacterial SSU rRNA
Rfam family: Archaeal small subunit ribosomal RNA
Source: RNAcentral
GGGAACACCGGCAGCUCUAGUGGUAACAAUUUUAUUGGGCCUAAAGCGUCCGUAGCCGGUUUAAUAAGUCUCUGGUGAAAUCUUGCAGCUUAACUGUGGGAAUUGCUGGAGAUACUAUUAGACUUGAGACCGGGAGAGGUUAGAGGUACUCCCAGGGGUAGAGGUGAAAUUCUGUAAUCCUGGGAGGACCGCCUGUUGCGAAGGCGUCUAACUGGAACGGUUCUGACGGUGAGGGACGAAAGUUAGGGGCGCGAACCGGAUUAGAUACCCGGGUAGUCCUAACUGUAAACGAUGCGGACUUGGUGUUGGGGUGGCUUUGAGCUGCUUCAGUGCCGAAGGGAAGCUGUUAAGUCCGCCGCCUGGGAAGUACGGUCGCAAGACUGAAACUUAAAGGAAUUGGCGGGGAAGCACCACAACGCGUGGAGCCUGCGGUUUUUAAAUUGGAUUCAACGCCGGACAUCUCACCAGAGGCGACAGCUGUAUGAUAGCCAGGUUGAUGACUUUGCUUGACUAGCUGAGGAGUAGAGGUGCAUGG